Molecule: unclassified non-coding RNA, 633 nt
Filed under: Hevea brasiliensis (rubber tree)
Lineage: Eukaryota; Viridiplantae; Streptophyta; Magnoliopsida; Malpighiales; Euphorbiaceae
Source: RNAcentral
GACGAGUUUUAUUAGACCCCCACCAUUUGAUGUAACUUGUUAGAUCAAUCUUUCUUUCGAAACAAAGACUCCCAACAUAAUCACUUUCUGCUGCUGGGUCAUCACCAUAAUUUAUGCUACUGAAACAUUCAGAUCCGGGCAUGCGGCCAAAUGACGAAUCCCAUCGACUGGAAAGCCCACGGUAUUUAGAAAUUCCUCUUGAAAAGCCACUACUCUUUCUCCGAAGAGAAGCCAGGUAUUCCUCUCUUGACACAUUCUGCAUUUCUUCAAGGUCUCUGGUAUAAUCAGUAACUGGAAAAUUAAUGAGUGUCCCAGGUCCCCAAUACUUUAAGGCAGCAAGAUCAUAUGCUCUAGCUGCAGCCUCCUCAUCAUCAUAAGCCCCCAAGUAUACUUGCUUUCCCUUCUUAUUCUGAUUCUGGUUCCAUGUACUUUUAUCCCAAAGGUGAGCUUCAUAUCGACCAGUCCAUCUAUGCCUGGUGACUCCACGGUAAAUGGAGCUGCGUUUUCCGGCAGUACAAGGAGGCAUCUUACUGAUGCGUUCUUUGGCAGUGCAGCCUCUCUCUUUCUUUGGUUUCUUUAGUCCUCUGUACAGUAAUAGCUGAUCAUUUGCGAUCAUAGCUUCCGAACUCUCUC